UAUCGGAGAGGAUAUUUGUUCAUUGCUGC
Molecule: non-coding RNA, 29 nt
Filed under: Mus musculus (house mouse)
Lineage: Eukaryota; Metazoa; Chordata; Mammalia; Rodentia; Muridae
Source: RNAcentral